RNAcentral lists this ribosomal RNA (792 nucleotides) under Streptomyces sp. RNAcentral's name for it is "bacterial SSU rRNA". It matches the Rfam family "Bacterial small subunit ribosomal RNA", at positions 67 to 873 of the family's 1533-position model. Lineage: Bacteria; Bacillati; Actinomycetota; Actinomycetes; Kitasatosporales; Streptomycetaceae. The record is from RNAcentral.
CGAUGAACCACUUCGGUGGGGAUUAGUGGCGAACGGGUGAGUAACACGUGGGCAAUCUGCCCUGCACUCUGGGACAAGCCCUGGAAACGGGGUCUAAUACCGGAUACUGACCAUCACAGGCAUCUGUGGUGUUCGAAAGCUCCGGCGGUGCAGGAUGAGCCCGCGGCCUAUCAGCUUGUUGGUGAGGUAAUGGCUCACCAAGGCGACGACGGGUAGCCGGCCUGAGAGGGCGACCGGCCACACUGGGACUGAGACACGGCCCAGACUCCUACGGGAGGCAGCAGUGGGGAAUAUUGCACAAUGGGCGAAAGCCUGAUGCAGCGACGCCGCGUGAGGGAUGACGGCCUUCGGGUUGUAAACCUCUUUCAGCAGGGAAGAAGCGAAAGUGACGGUACCUGCAGAAGAAGCGCCGGCUAACUACGUGCCAGCAGCCGCGGUAAUACGUAGGGCGCGAGCGUUGUCCGGAAUUAUUGGGCGUAAAGAGCUCGUAGGCGGCUUGUCGCGUCGGUUGUGAAAGCCCGGGGCUUAACCCCGGGUCUGCAGUCGAUACGGGCAGGCUAGAGUUCGGUAGGGGAGAUCGGAAUUCCUGGUGUAGCGGUGAAAUGCGCAGAUAUCAGGAGGAACACCGGUGGCGAAGGCGGAUCUCUGGGCCGAUACUGACGCUGAGGAGCGAAAGCGUGGGGAGCGAACAGGAUUAGAUACCCUGGUAGUCCACGCCGUAAACGGUGGGCACUAGGUGUGGGCAACAUUCCACGUUGUCCGUGCCGCAGCUAACGCAUUAAGUGCCCCGCC